UACGAAGGGGGCUAGCGUUGCUCGGAAUCACUGGGCGUAAAGGGUGCGUAGGCGGGUCUUAAGUCAGGGGUGAAAUCCUGGAGCUCAACUCCAGAACUGCCUUUGAUACUGAAGAUCUUGAGUUCGGGAGAGGUGAGUGGAACUGCGAGUGUAGAGGUGAAAUUCGUAGAUAUUCGCAAGAACACCAGUGGCGAAGGCGGCUCACUGGCCCGAUACUGACGCUGAGGCACGAAAGCGUGGGG
This 242-nucleotide ribosomal RNA is filed under the name uncultured bacterium. Its description in RNAcentral is "partial 16S ribosomal RNA". It matches the Rfam family "Bacterial small subunit ribosomal RNA", at positions 524 to 766 of the family's 1533-position model. The record is from RNAcentral.